GCGGGCGUAGUUCAAUGGUAGAAUAGGAGCUUCCCAAGCUCCGGACGUGGGUUCGAUUCCCAUCGCCCGCUCCA
This 74-nucleotide transfer RNA is filed under the name Elusimicrobiota bacterium. RNAcentral's name for it is "Elusimicrobia bacterium (groundwater metagenome) tRNA-Gly". It matches the Rfam family "tRNA". From Rfam's summary of the family: Transfer RNA (tRNA) molecules are approximately 80 nucleotides in length. Lineage: Bacteria; Pseudomonadati; Elusimicrobiota. The record is from RNAcentral.